RNAcentral lists this ribosomal RNA (442 nucleotides) under uncultured bacterium. Its description in RNAcentral is "bacterial SSU rRNA". It matches the Rfam family "Bacterial small subunit ribosomal RNA", at positions 958 to 1398 of the family's 1533-position model. The record is from RNAcentral.
AACGCGAAGAACCUUACCUGGGUUUGACAUGCACUGGACCGCGCCAGAGAUGGCGCUUUCCGCAAGGACUAGUGCACAGGUGCUGCAUGGCUGUCGUCAGCUCGUGCCGUGAGGUGUUGGGUUAAGUCCCGCAACGAGCGCAACCCUUGCCAUUAGUUGCCAACACGUAAAGGUGGGAACUCUAGUGGGACUGCCCGGGUUAACCGGGAGGAAGGUGAGGAUGACGUCAAGUCCGCAUGGCCCUUAUGUCCAGGGCUACACACGUGCUACAAUGGUCGGUACAAUAGGCUGCAAGACCGAAAGGUGGAGCAAAUCCAAAAAAGCCGGCCCCAGUUCAGAUUGAGGUCUGCAACUCGACCUCAUGAAGUUGGAAUUGCUAGUAAUGGCGUAGUCAGCAACAACGCCGUGAAUACGUUCCCGGGCCUUGUACACACCGAUACUC